This is a long non-coding RNA of Neopelma chrysocephalum (saffron-crested tyrant-manakin), 435 nucleotides long. RefSeq lists it as uncharacterized. The transcript is spliced from 2 exons. The record is from RefSeq and is a predicted model, not a curated record. Lineage: Eukaryota; Metazoa; Chordata; Aves; Passeriformes; Pipridae.
GGCAGACGGGGCUGGGCUUCGGCAGCACCAUGGCGCGCGUGGGCGGCAUCGUGGCGCCGCUGGUGAAGAUGAUGGACGAGUACUACCCCUUCCUGCCCCCCCGCCGUCUACGGCGUGGCCCCCGUGGUGGCGGCCGUGGCGGCCGCGUUCCUGCCCGAGACCCUCAACGCGCCCCUGCCCGACACCAUCGAGGAGGUGGAGAGCAGGGCCAAGCGGAAGCCGGCGGGUGACCCCAAGGAGAAGAUCGCCCUCCAGCCCCAGGACACGCCCCCCCAGAAGGAGGCCUGAGGGACCCCUGGGGGGCCCGACCAGCACCCGCCACCCGGGGGUCCCCAAAGCUCGGGGGGGGACGAGGGGGGAACUCGGCCGCGGUUUUGGGGACCCCCCCGUGAGGAGGGGACAUCGGGGGAGGAAUAAACAGCUCUGGUGGGGACA